Molecule: long non-coding RNA, 641 nt
Organism: Leptopilina boulardi
Lineage: Eukaryota; Metazoa; Arthropoda; Insecta; Hymenoptera; Figitidae
Exons: 3
Source: RefSeq, a predicted model, not a curated record
UACAAUCAAUGUCGGCAUUGAUAUACAUAAGUUCCGAAGUUCACAUAGAGUGGGGGAAGCAUCAGGGUAUGAAGAUGUAGACCUUUGUAUUUCAGCCGCAAAAAGGAGAGGCGGUAUCGCCAAGGAGUGUAAAAUUAAAAAAGUUUGCGAUGUACAUAUUUACACAUUCAACGAUUUAAUUAUUCACCGGCAAAGAGUUAGUACGUGGCUUAGUUUCAUUAGUUUUUAUUUAGUGCCCAAUGGAGAAUAUAAAUGAGACUACUAUUUUGAUACAAUUAGUAUCAAGACACCAAGCACUCUAUGACAAAUCAAGGAAUGAUUAUAAGAAUAUAAUUUAAAAAAAGAAACUGUGGGAGAUUAUUGCUUCCGAAAUGUAUGUGACGCUGGAGAAAGAGACUUCAGAGGAACAGAAGAAAAUCCGAAAAUAUAUCCCAUCGGGUUCAGCAGCACAAGAAAUUUCUUCAAAUUGGCCUUAUUAUGAAGAUAUAUCAGGUGUUUAAUUUUUUCCAUUUUUACUUAAUAAUAGAAUUUCGUGGUCAGAAUAUCAUUAUUAAUAUUCUACGGAAUAUUAAUUUACAAAAAAUAAUAGUUAAGACAAACAAAAUUUUGUAUUUCAAUAUCAUAAUUCAUAAAACUGUCAA